Molecule: ribosomal RNA, 301 nt
Filed under: uncultured bacterium
Lineage: Bacteria
Description: partial 16S ribosomal RNA
Rfam family: Bacterial small subunit ribosomal RNA
Source: RNAcentral
CAGCAGCCGCGGGAAUACGAAGGGUGCAAGCGUUACUCGGAAUUACUGGGCGUAAAGCGUGCGUAGGUGGUUGUUUAAGUCUGUUGUGAAAGCCCUGGGCUCAACCUGGGAAUUGCAGUGGAUACUGGGCAACUAGAGUGUGGUAGAGGGUAGUGGAAUUCCCGGUGUAGCAGUGAAAUGCGUAGAGAUCGGGAGGAACAUCCAUGGCGAAGGCAGCUACCUGGACCAACACUGACACUGAGGCACGAAAGCGUGGGGAGCAAACAGGAUUAGAUACCCGCGUAGUCCCUGUCUCUUAUAC